This is a long non-coding RNA of Gadus macrocephalus (Pacific cod), 602 nucleotides long. RefSeq lists it as uncharacterized. NCBI's taxonomy places the organism in Eukaryota, Metazoa, Chordata, Actinopteri, Gadiformes, Gadidae. The record is from RefSeq and is a predicted model, not a curated record. The transcript is spliced from 3 exons.
GUAUCCAGAUGGAAUACAUAUCUGCAUGCUCCCCUUUAACCUAGCUGUCUAGAACCUUCAGAACCCGGACCGGAUCCGUGUCCCGGCCCUUUCAGUUAUUUUCUCUGGGUCGGAGAGAGAGAGAGAGUUGUGUAAAUCAUUUGUGGAGGAGCAUAUGAAGUCUUAAAAUGGAAUCCACAAGAUAUGUAGUUGUGUUUGUGUCCAGGUCUACCGUCUACCUUGAAUGAGGAGAUGGAGGAGGGGGGUCCUACUUCUAAAAGCACCAUGUCUAGGGAACAUGGCCCCCAGAGCGAAGCUAAAAGCCCUGAGCAGCAGGACAGAGCAGACUCCCCUGAACCCAGCUGUGUCUCCAUGAAGAGUGACUGGUCUAUGGAUCCACCUGUCAUGUUUAAAGAUGGCCACCCCUGCAGAAAGGAAAGAAGACACCAUCAGGAGAGAGCAGACUCCCCUGGACCCAGCUGUGCCUCAGUGAAGAGAGACCAGUCUAUGGAACCACUUCUUAAAUUUGACGAUUGAAAUCAGUCUACUGAGAAAAGGUGAGAAUUUAUCAGAGAUUGUAACAAUACAGAAUCUAUCAAACGUCCAUAAAUCCUAUACCUUGA